GAUGAACGCUGGCGGCGUGCCUAAUACAUGCAAGUCGAGCGAACAGACGAGAGUGCUUGCACUCUCUGACGUUAGCGGCGGACGGGUGAGUAACACGUGGGUAACCUACCUAUAAGACUGGGAUAACUCCGGGAAACCGGAGCUAAUACCGGAUAAUAUUUAGCUUCGCAUGAAGCAAUAGUGAAAGACGGUUCUGCUGUCACUUAUAGAUGGACCCGCGGUGUAUUAGCUAGUUGGUGAGGUAACGGCUCACCAAGGCAACGAUACAUAGCCGACCUGAGAGGGUGAUCGGCCACACUGGGACUGAGACACGGCCCAGACUCCUACGGGAGGCAGCAGUAGGGAAUCUUCCGCAAUGGACGAAAGUCUGACGGAGCAAUGCCGCGUGAGUGAAGAAGGUGUUCGGAUCGUAAAACUCUGUUGUAAGGGAAGAACAAGUACGUUAGUAACUGAACGUACCUUGACGGUACCUUACCAGAAAGCCACGGCUAACUACGUG
RNAcentral lists this ribosomal RNA (499 nucleotides) under uncultured bacterium. Its description in RNAcentral is "partial 16S ribosomal RNA". It matches the Rfam family "Bacterial small subunit ribosomal RNA", at positions 28 to 507 of the family's 1533-position model. The record is from RNAcentral.